Molecule: ribosomal RNA, 266 nt
Filed under: uncultured bacterium
Lineage: Bacteria
Description: partial 16S ribosomal RNA
Rfam family: Bacterial small subunit ribosomal RNA
Source: RNAcentral
GUGCCUACGGGGGGCAGCAGUAGGGAAUCUUCCACAAUGGACGAAAGUCUGAUGGAGCAACGCCGCGUGAGUGAAGAAGGGUUUCGGCUCGUAAAGCUCUGUUGGUAGUGAAGAAAGAUAGAGGUAGUAACUGGCCUUUAUUUGACGGUAAUUACUUAGAAAGUCACGGUUAACUACGUGCCAGCAUCCGCGGUAAUACGUAGGGUGCAAGCGUUGUCCGGAUUUUUUGGGCGUAAAGCGAGUGCAGGCGGGUUAAUAUAUAUGAU